GACCUGAGAGGGUGAUCGGCCACACUGGGACUGAGACACGGCCCAGACUCCUACGGGAGGCAGCAGUAGGGAAUCUUCCGCAAUGGACGAAAGUCUGACGGAGCAACGCCGCGUGAGUGAUGAAGGGUUUCGGCUCGUAAAACUCUGUUGUUAAGGAAGAAUACUUGAGGUAGUAGUUUGAUGGUGAAAGGAUGUAUUUGCUCUGAUUUGGACAGUGAUGGAAGCGAAGAGGGAGUGACUCAGCCCACAGACCCAGGGGAUGGCUGUCGUCAGGUGGCUGAGAACCCAGUAGACUUCCCCCAAGUCUCAUGGCCUUGCAGACACCAGCAAGUCCCCUGGUUCUCUGCAUCCCCUGUCUGCUGGAGAGGGGCAGGCCCAGGGGAGAACAGGGAAGGAUCAGCCAGAGCACAGACAUCAUGGAAGAUAGCAUACACAGGGGCUGGCAAGGAGCGGUGACACUAACAUAAGGAGUCUGAUGGCUACUAUUUUAAACGUUCUCUUAAAGUUUCCC
RNAcentral lists this ribosomal RNA (511 nucleotides) under uncultured bacterium. Its description in RNAcentral is "partial 16S ribosomal RNA". The stretch from base 1 to 231 matches the Rfam family "Bacterial small subunit ribosomal RNA", at positions 289 to 538 of the family's 1533-position model. The record is from RNAcentral.